AUUUGAAGACCAGGUUUUCCGACCUUGGAGAUAGAUGAGACAGGAGCCAUGUGCCCUGAAAUGUUCGGAGCAAAACUCUACCAGCUACAACAUUUGAGGGACAUGUUCUCUUCCAGACCCAUCAGAGGGAGCAGAGCAGUGAGACUUCCAACCUUGAAUCACCUGAGAUGUUUUAAGCCAAAUUUGUGGAAAUGUGUUAUGUAGCAAUCAAUGAAAGAGGAUAGGCAUGGACAUCGAGAGAGCUGGACCAGUGGACUCCUGACUUGAUUUUUCCUAGACUGCUGUGUUGGAGAAUGCAACCAUGCUUAGUGAUGGGAAUGUGAGUCUCCUGAACACAGCAGGGAUGCUACAAUGUUUACAGAGGAGGGACCCUGCAGGCUGUCACAGCAGGCCAGAAGUGAACCGCCAAGAGGUGAGAAAGAAAACUAUGUUCAGAUUGACUGCAUCGACCUGGACCAAGACUUCAGGGAGUCUGAUAGCAGCCAGUUCACUGUCAGCAGAUUUAAAACAAGUACGACUUGCAAAAAAGAACGUUUCCUGGUGUAAUAUAAUCUCCAGUGCACAAUGAAGCAUAGUUGCACUGAAACUUAGGAUAUAUGCCAUGUCUUAAAGGAGAUGGGUUCUAUCUAGCUUGACAACCUAAAGAAGAGCCUGGUCUUGGUCAUAAGAUAGUAUAGAGGUCAUUUAGAUUACUAGCCACCUCCAGUCCUGGUGUGGGCACUUGAGAUGGCCUGGCCAGAUAGAUAACACAGACCACCAGGCUGUUAAUCACGUCAACCCCCAACUUUCUGGAUGGAAGAACAGGCUUUUUACAUCUUUCCCACUGGAAAGAUGAUCCUGUGUGCUUAACCUUUCUUAUUUCUCUGGAGAUCUGUGGGCACAAGGACCUUUGUGUUGUGCUGCCAAUAGAAAGUAUUAGCCUCGGUCUACACAAGAACAAAAUGAAGUUCAUGGCUGUGGGAACAGGACUUAUUCAAAGUCCCUGAAGCUGACAACAGCCUUCCAUGUCCAAAUCCAUUGCCUUCCACCCAUCUCUGAAUCACAGGGUUUUCUCAGACUUUAUUUUACUCUGUGGUUCUAGGACUCGAACCCAGGGUCUCACACAUGCUGAUCACAGCAAAAGCCCUGCAAGGUCGAGGUUCUCAUCAGCACUCCUCUGUGACAAACUUUCUUGUUGGACUAUCUCCAAUAAGAAUAUGGAGACUUAUAAUAAUUAUGAAAGUUUGGCCUUAGCUUAUAGCUUAGGCUUUUUUUCCAACUAGCUUUUAUAAGUUAGAUUAACCUGUCUCUUUUAAUCUACACUCUAUCUUGUGGUUCAGUCACCUCUGCUGUAUACCAUAUGUCUGACUUCUUCAGAGUCU
RNAcentral lists this long non-coding RNA (1361 nucleotides) under Cricetulus griseus (Chinese hamster). Its description in RNAcentral is "lncRNA (ENSCGRG00015041470.1)". Lineage: Eukaryota; Metazoa; Chordata; Mammalia; Rodentia; Cricetidae. The record is from RNAcentral.